ACCCGACUUGAUAAGAAAAACGGUCAGCUCAAACAUCACUUCCAACUGUCAAUUCAAAUCUACUCGCCGAAACUACCUGCCGCAAAGUGACGCUGCAAAAAAACAGAAUGCGUAGAAUGGGCGAAAUCAAACGCAACAAUGAGACCGCUUCCAACUGUCAGAAAUACUUCCGAGAAGAGUGCCAAACCAGAAAGCAGAACGGACACAUUUUGCUCAACGCGGUGCGGAUUAGAUUGAACUACUUCGAAAAGCACUGGAAAGUGCGAGUUCGUGGAAAAGCAGUAACAGAAACACUUUAAUACGCAGUUACGACGGACAGGUAAAUCUCGACAAGCAAAGAGCAAUAUCGAGCAAACAACGUGGUGGCACUGUCUUUCCCCGUACUCACGAUAGCACGACGCACACGGACUUGCAUUUGAAGAACCAAUUUGUUCACUGGAUCAGGACUCUGCAUGAGAGACCACGUCACGAACCCGUGUUGGUCAAUAAUCACGUAUCUCGAUUAGACAGAAGCGAAGGGGAUCGUCAAGGUCCCCUUACUUUACAGAUCGGACUUCGGUGUACCGUGUUGGCGACCCACUGUCAUGUGAUGGCGAUGACCGUGUAGUAUUCGUGAACUGAAGGCAGCAGUGUGCCUUAUCAGCUGGUUUGUGAAAGGAGCGAGAGCACUCUACCCGUGUGCUGAUUUACCGUACAGUGACGCUGGAAUGAACCAGUUCGAAGAUUGCAGCGGCUAACGAAUCGGGAGUGGCAACAUUGCGCGAAGAGCUGGUUAGUUUUGCAUGCUGGCAUUUAGGAAGGUUAGCGGCAGUGAGGCGGAGGUUGGAUGAUUGGCUGGCGAGAAUAAACAUAAUCGGGAUGGCGAUGGCAUGAGUAAGUGAAGAGCGGGAGAGAAAUGCAUGCAGGAACAUAAGGUUAGUGACCGGUACCGAGGAGGAUGUUAGAGGCUAAGGAAUAAAUAGUAAUGAAAGUAAAUGAAAAUGCAUGUUAGAAUUAGGUAAUAGUAAGAGGAGAAAGAAAUAAGUUGAGGGAGAAAAUUAGGAGAGAGAAGGAGAAGAUGGAAUGUCGGGGGAUAGCAUGUAGGAUUGAAUACAUUAUCAUGUGACAGUAUCGUAACACCUUUUUAUUUGAGUUGGUGCACAUUGCCCUUAGUGUUUGUGUUUUGGUCCACUUUGGGUAGUUCUGCUCUACCCACAGCUAAAACAUUGUAACAAAGCAUAGCUGGGAUGAAAUGUAACGGUAGCUUAUAAAUUAUAGUUAAUUCUAUAUCACAAAAAAGAUGUGGUGAUUGAAAACCGAAAAUAACUGUUUCGUAACUAGUUAUGUUAUGAAGAAACAUUGCCGUCACCUUGUUUUACUCAGUGCUCUUGUUGCAACAUAGUUUGGACUUACACAUAUCAGAAUUAGUUACGAAUUGUUACUUGGGUAGUAACCGGUUAAACGAAUCCAUGGAAUACAUGAAUACAAAACCAUACAAUAGGUAAUACUUUGGCAUUGAUUUCAAAUAAAUUCGAACGUUUUUAUCUCUGUGCCCUUCUUUUCUUAUGUUGGGGUCAUUUUACACCCUUUCUUUAUAAAUACCCAAAUGGCACUCUCGAGUAGCAAGAAAUAUCUAAACUGUUAUUUUGUUAGGCAAACUAUCGCAUAUAAGGGAAUGGGGGCAAGGCAGUAUAUGCUUGAUAUUUUUUUUGGAUUAUGGUGCCAUCUACCAAAAUAAUUUGGAAUUUCGUGUUGAAACAUCCUCGGACUUUAACAUGCGUAACCGCUUUAUUUCGAUGUGCCGUUAUAAUCGUUAAAGAUUUUCAAUCGCAUGUAAGUAGUUAUCUCAAACCAUAUUAAAUAAAACUUAGUUUCGUAGUGUUUCUUAGUGCUUAUUUUGUGCUCCUAUAACUUAUUAUUAAUAAAACUUUCAUUGUGUUCAGUGACGUGUAACAUUAUUUUGACUGUGUGGGUGCAAACUCUAAUUCAUCCUACUGACACAAUUUCG
Molecule: long non-coding RNA, 1987 nt
Organism: Malaya genurostris
Lineage: Eukaryota; Metazoa; Arthropoda; Insecta; Diptera; Culicidae
Exons: 4
Source: RefSeq, a predicted model, not a curated record